AUGCACCACCUCAACAUCGCGGGCCUGAGCGCGCCGUCCGCACUCACCUGAUGACGCACGCUACGUUGCGUUAGCC
Molecule: small RNA, 76 nt
Filed under: Xanthomonas arboricola
Lineage: Bacteria; Pseudomonadati; Pseudomonadota; Gammaproteobacteria; Lysobacterales; Lysobacteraceae
Also listed under: 1 other name
Description: sRNA sX9
Rfam family: Xanthomonas sRNA sX9
Source: RNAcentral